GUGAGGCCAGAUUAAAGCAGGCAGAAGAACCUGGGGAGUUAGAAUGGCUUAACCUCUGAGCCUACAUCUUUCUCCGGUGCUGGAUGCUUCCUGCCCUUGAACAUCAGACUGCAAGUUGUUCCCCUUUAGGACUCGGACUCUCUCUCCUUGCUCCUCAGCUUGCAGAUGGCCUGUAGUGGGACCUUGUGAUCGUGAUAGGAAUUACUCCACAAACAAAAAUCAGAGCUGUUGCCUGAAGAAGGAGAAGGAUUGUCUAGAGCAGCACUCUAUAAAGGAAAUACAAGGUGAGCCACAUAUGUCAUUUUUAAUUAUCUGAUAGACAUAUUUUUAAAAGUAAAAAUGAACAAGUAAAAAUAAUUUCAACAAUAUAUUUUAUUUGUUUCCUUUUCUUUUCCACAGAAACUGUGGUGGUGAUGUUUAACUGAAUAUGUCUAAAAUGUUAUUUUCAACAUGCAAUCAAUAUAAACAUUAGUAGGAUAGUAUUCUACAUUUUUUACACUAUGUCUCUGAAAUUCAGUGUGCAUUUUACACUUAGAGAAUAUCUCAAUUUCAACAUAUUUUAAGGAUUUCAUAGACAUGUAUUUCUACCAUAUUAGGUAGUACAAGAUUAGGACAAAAAAUAACCACUGCUCUAUUUCUUCAUACCUACUACCACAUUGGAUGCUUACAAACCACUAGUUAGAAUGAACCCGUGUUUUACAAGUUGAAUGACUAGCUUAAGCAACAGAGGGAUCAAAACUCUAAACUAGAUAUCUUGAAUUCAAAUAUAAGUUUUAAGGCCAAUGAAGAAUGUUCUAUAUGUUCUAUGAAAAGGGGUUGUAGUAGACUUUUUAGAUUUUUAUUGAAAUAACAGAAGCUCCUUGUGUCAGGCCAGUAGCCAGCUUAUAGCCCAAACUCUGUUCAUUCCACCCAACUCAUACCAGGAGAUCUCUCAUUAGAUUCUGUAGGGCCCAGCCUCAUGUCCCCUUGGCUACCCAGUCCUGAAUUUGUACUCCAGUUUUAAUAAGUGAACUCUCUAUGGCAGAGACUCUUCCUUAACCCUAGUUAGGGUCUUUAGAGUCUCCUCUUGUUUUUUUGUGCAAGUAUCUGUCUGGGUAAUUGGUGAUCUGUCUAAUAAACAUCUCCUUGUAGAACUCAUUCUUCAUUUUCUUUUCUUUCUUAUUCUUUUUUAGCCCC
RNAcentral lists this long non-coding RNA (1176 nucleotides) under Callithrix jacchus (white-tufted-ear marmoset). Its description in RNAcentral is "lncRNA (ENSCJAG00000081758.1)". Lineage: Eukaryota; Metazoa; Chordata; Mammalia; Primates; Cebidae. The record is from RNAcentral.